Puma concolor (puma) is the source of this 254-nucleotide non-coding RNA. Lineage: Eukaryota; Metazoa; Chordata; Mammalia; Carnivora; Felidae. The record is from RefSeq and is a predicted model, not a curated record.
CACUCGGCCCGGGGCAGGCCUCACGCGAACCGAACUGAGAGGGGCCUGCAACCGUUCGGGCCUCGCUCAAGUUCUUCUUGGCCGCCUCCAGCUCGCUCACAAAGGUCGCCAUUGCUCCCCACGUCUCAGCCCGACCGCAGACCGCUCUGCCACAGUGACCAACAACCGAAAAACCAAUUCGAGGCCCCUUCAAGCUUAUUCGUUUGUUCAGCAAAUACUAUUAUGUAUCUGGAACUCUAUUGUGGGCUGGAUUU